GUUCCAGUCACCAAUCCCCCUCUGCCCCCUUUGGAACAAAGAGACACCAGCUUCAUAACAACAGUCAACAAUCAGCUGUUUUUCUUUAUUCCAGGUGUACUAAGUGUAGCAGGAUGAAACAAGCCUGCUCCAAAUUAGGUGGGUUGGCGCAUACCGGCUUCCGUACUCAUGAGGGCGCUGUGGGUAUAAAAGGGAGCUCUGCUCACUGUUGGAGCAUGCUAGGGAAACGCUGCAUUCUGGCGUCAGCUGCUGUCUUUAAACUGUGCCUCAGUAGGUGAUCGGCUCUGCUUUGGUGCUUGGGCAUUUGUUUGUUUUGUGCUGGGCGUGACGCUACUGCUCAUCCCAGAGUGAACUGAACACUGGAGAAGAGGUAUAUAGCUCCUGCAGGGGACAGCAUGUGAGUUGAACGAAUCCAACUCAAGCUCUGUGUUACAACUCGGACAGGUUAAAUACCUGUGCGCUGCCGGGCGGGGAAGCUUUCUUGCGGCCUAGGAUGAUGCUAGUUGGUGGACUGAUUGUGCUCUGUGGUCUGGCGGUUGGCGCUGCUGUUUUGCUUUAGUUAUUUUCUUCGUUCCGUUUUCCAGUUUCUCCCCCCUCCUGUGGGUUCCGCACAGACCUCUGCACAGUGUCGGAGGCUUUCCCACUCUAAGCAUGGGACCAGAGGGGAAAACAACUGUGUUUUAUUUAAGUAGUUUUAAACGAUUGUUUUUUUUGUAAACCCCCCUUUUAUUUUGUGCCGGCUGGGACAGGAGGUGGUGGCCUCGGUGGUGGCGGUCCCGUUUUGUGCGUGUGCUGGGUUCCCUUAUUGUUGGAUAAAUUAUGGAUACAUUAUGUAUAAUUUUAAACGAAAGUAACAUCCAGCCCAUUUUUUUCCCUGGCAACAGACAGGCGUUUGACCUUGCCUCUUCCCAGUCCUGGCUCAUCAGUAAGAACGCCCUGUGCCAGCGCAUGCUUGUCUCCCUAAAUGUGUGUGCGUUUUAACAUUUCUGUGUGUCUUUAAUAAAUACUCUUGAGAGGGCUUUUGUCGGACGAGAGCAAAGAGACCACCAAUUCGUGUAUCAUUUUAUCUCUCUCUCCACUUUGCAAAGUCUAAAUUGCUUAUUGUUAAGAUUAGAAUGGAUUAAACUGAUCAGCUUGGUAAUACCACCCCUGCAUGGUGAGCUUUCCCUUCAGGUAACCCUGGAUGGGAAAAUGAAAAUACCUAACACAUGUUGGAGUGAAUGUUCACUGUUGCCUGGGGUGACUUUAUUAUACUUUAUUGUGCUUGUUUCUUUUUGGUAUUCAUCACCCCGUGUGUCCAUUCCCUCCAGUUGGUCUCAGUCCUGCAAUUUAUUUCCUGUUUGUCUUGUCGCCCUGUUUUUAAGCAGAACACUUUUAAACAUCUAUAUAUGUAUUUUAUGUUUUUAAAUAAAUCAAUUGUAAAUUUUGGAA
Molecule: non-coding RNA, 1431 nt
Organism: Nothobranchius furzeri (turquoise killifish)
Lineage: Eukaryota; Metazoa; Chordata; Actinopteri; Cyprinodontiformes; Nothobranchiidae
Source: RefSeq, a predicted model, not a curated record